AAACAGCCAGGCUUCUAGAAGUCACAGGGAGACUUUGAUGCCAGCAUACAAUUAGAAACAACAGGGUUUUUUUGAGCAACCAAGAUAACUUUGUUGUGAAUGUUCCUGGGGCUUGUGUGUGUGUGUCGUAGCAUGUUCAGGCUGCCCCCACAACAAUGCACAGAGAGCCAGCAGGCACAGCAAUCAGACUCUGGGUUCUUGGUUUGACUGAUUCUCCCUGUAGCCACCAGAAAGCUACCGGAAGAAUGAGCUUCUUCCAUCACAGUGGGCAGAGCAUCAGAGUCUUGCACAACACCAUUGGAACAAUUGGGGCACUUGGAGGACACCAAGAAAAACAGUCUGAGAGACGUGGAGAGCCUGGCACAUUCCUGGCAUAGAGCGAGUGCAGAAAUGUAUGAAAGAUCAGAAGGAACACUGCAAAAAAAAAAUACCAGAGCCUCUAGUGACCUGGAACAAUUCGCGAUGCCUGGGACAGUUCUGAGUCCAUGGUGCUUUCCUAUGUCAUCUGGCUCUGAGACAUGUGGCUCUUUGCCCUACAACAAAUGGAGGAAGGAAGCACUGGUGGUUAUGGCACAACCCUGAGCUGCAAUAAAGGUCUGACACGGAGGUGCUGAUAACAGACUGGUCUUUAUUUGCUGGAACUGGUCACCUGACAUAGACUAUCCCUGUCUUGUGACAUGGGUUCGCUGGUGCAGGAGGCCUGGUCUCAUAGUCUUGGAGGCCAGGGGUCUGCCCUUGUGGAACUGUGUGAGUCCUUGGAGCCCAGCCCAUUAAUGGGUCACUCCCAGGAAACUGGCUCCAGGCUGGACAGAGACAUGACACUGCCAUUUUGCAUCCUGAUCACAUGACCACUUCCUGUUUCCAAAAUACAGUGGCCUGAUGGGAGGCUAGGAAGUGGAAGCACGACCAGUGGAGCCUCUGCUUGUUGCUCCUGGUGUAUUUCAUGGUCAGUGAUUGCAUGGGCUUGUGUUACUUCUGCUGCUUGGGAGCUCUGCCGGCAGCAUUCGAGGUGUCCUCAAGCAGCAGUCUGAGCACAAAUUAGGGAUGCCUUGUCUUAGCUAUGUUAACAUGCCCGUGAAUCUCUGUAAAGCUUCCCUGCUUACAGUCUGUCCAUUUGUCCAAUUCCACCAUUCAAACGCCUGUGUCACUAGCCAUCCUGGGUAGCUAAACUCAUUUAGCCCCCCCCGGCACUGGUUCCUGUUCUGUUCAAGGUUCUUUCCCUGGGCACACUGAAAUCAGCAAAUCAUCCACAAUGAAUCCCACCCUAUCUAGAUCCUCGAAGACCUGGGCCAGGAUGCUUUAGCACACCUGAGGUGCUGCGGCAAUCCCAAAGGGAAGUUGCCUAAACAUAUAGUUACCAAGGGGAGGCUGAGGGGGCAAAGUUCUGCACUUUCUGUAUCAAAUCAGACCUGCCAAAACCCUUGAGUGCAUCCAAAUCUGAAAAUACUCCUGCACUUUGAAGUCAAGGCAUCACCUCCCCAUCUGUUCUUUUG
Molecule: long non-coding RNA, 1493 nt
Organism: Gopherus evgoodei (Goodes thornscrub tortoise)
Lineage: Eukaryota; Metazoa; Chordata; Testudines; Testudinidae
Exons: 3
Source: RefSeq, a predicted model, not a curated record